UCUCCUCCAGAAUGUCAUAUAGGUGGAAUCAUACAUUAUGUAGCCUUUUCAGAUUGGCUUCUUUCACAUAGUAAUAUGCACUUAAGUUUCCUCCAUGUUUUUUCCUGGCUUGCUAGCUCAUUCCUCUUUAGCGCUGAAUGAUAUUCCAUUGUCUAGACGUACCACGUCUUCCAAAUCCAAUCCCCUACCAUAGGGUAUGUUGGUGGCUUCCCAGUUUGGGCUAUUAUGAAUAAAGCUUCCAUAAACGUCCGUGUCCAGGUUUUUGUGUGAACACAAGUUUCAACUCUUCCUUGGUUUUUGCACACUGUGUGUUACUGUCACACUGUUUCAUAAUUUUGCACCCUUCUUCUUACCUAAGUUGUAUUCUCCACGUUGUGACAUCUUGACCCUGUUCCGGUGAGAAGACAGGUAGGCCACGGUACCCAACCGUUCCCUGGCAUCUCAGUAAUACCUGACACGCAAAGCACUGGGAAAAGUGCACAAUAUCCAUAAUCUCCGACCCUCCCAGAUGGGAAAAUGAAGCCUCGGAGAGGUUCAGGCGGGAGACGUGGGAUCUGAUCCAGGGCGGCCUGCCUCCUUGGCCCUGAAGCAAGGAUUCUGGGCCCAGCCCAGACAACAGAGAAGAAGAAAACUAGGACAGGAAGAGGGUAAAUCAAGCCAGAUCCACGAUGGCUGCUCUGGGCUUAAACCAGCUCCCUAAAGAGAAGGCUUUGGAGCGUGCUUUGUGGGUUUCCCAUGCCACUGGACUACUCAAGGUUAAUGGCUACCACAUGCCGGGAGCUGCUCAAAGCUGCAGAACUCCACUCUCAAGAUGGACAAAGGGUACCACCCGCUCACGGUGACUCCCUUGAAAUGACUCUCUUUUACAUGACAUGCCAAGAACAUAAAACCACAUGUAGUACACAAUGAGCGUUUAAUGGGCUUCACCUACUGCAUUAUCUUACCAGUAUUAUUACCAUCAUUAUUAUGGAAUCUCUCUCAGAGUCCUUGAAUAGGGAGCCAGACAUGACAGAGUUCUCUGUAACCUGAGCCAGAACCGGUGCAUCUAGAAAAGAGCGGCAGACCCUUGGCAGUCAAGGUGGAUUCUUCUCUGCUGCUUCUACCCUAUGGGGUUUUUGCAUGCACGUUCCAAGCAGCAUCAGAAUAAAGCUGCUCCCUUGUGAGGGAGCUGCCAAAGCGCCUCCCUGUCCACAGCCUCCAUGGCUUUUUAUCAUAAAUGGCUUACACAACCUGAGAGGUUCUGCUGGGGCCCCGUUGUUAAAGCUCUCCGUUGCAGUCCCUGCCGGCUUUGUGAAGCCUGCACAGAAGCUUUGCCGGGCCACUGGUUUUGUUUGUGAAUUUAAGAUCUAUGAAUACGAACUGGUAAGAU
Felis catus (domestic cat) is the source of this 1369-nucleotide long non-coding RNA. RefSeq lists it as uncharacterized. The transcript is spliced from 3 exons. The record is from RefSeq and is a predicted model, not a curated record. Lineage: Eukaryota; Metazoa; Chordata; Mammalia; Carnivora; Felidae.